RNAcentral lists this unclassified non-coding RNA (223 nucleotides) under Hevea brasiliensis (rubber tree). Lineage: Eukaryota; Viridiplantae; Streptophyta; Magnoliopsida; Malpighiales; Euphorbiaceae. The record is from RNAcentral.
UGUUUUCAUAAUAUUAGCUUAAUGGAAAUUGAGUUCCUUCUAGAUAUAGCAACAAUGAGUUGUAGUUUCAAGGUACUUGCUACUUUUGUGAAGAUGCGUUCAUAAUUUAGAAGGUUUCCUUUUUAACAAAAAAAAAAAGGCCUCAUUACUCCAUGAAAUUCUGCUAUGGUGCAAAGUUAGAUUUUUAGAAAUUAUGAGUUAACAUGUGAAAAUCAAUUAGAGG